UGGAAAUUUUAUCUUCAUUUGAACAAAAAAUUGAGAAACAUUUAAAUGCCUUUUAAACAUAAUUUGUAAAAUAUAAUUAAUAGAAAUGUAACAACCUGUAAAAAUGUAACAACCUUUAGACUAUACACAAUUCUUCUGCAUUUACAGAUGUGAUUAAGGUGGAAAAUGAGAGACUGCUUUAUGUUCUCUACUGUAACUACUAGGUGUUUAGAUUAUAUAAACUUCUUCUGUAUUUACAGAUGUGAUUAAGGUGGAGAUUAAGAGUGAACAGACUUGGAAAGCAGCUACAAACAGCUGUGAUGUUUCUCUUCUGUGUCGAGCGUCUGAAGAUCAGACAGUGUCCUACAGAUGGAGGGGUUUUAAGGAGGAGGAUGGAGCUCAGCUGAAUUUCACUCUCACACCAGAAGAUGGAGACGUUACUCUGAACUGCACUGCAAUUGGCAGAUUUGUGCAAGGCUCUAACACGACCACAGUGAAAUGUACUCCAGAAGAGACUCCUACAGGAGCUCCAUUCUCAGUGCUCCAUCUGCUCAGUUUUUUAACGGCAGCGUCUCCAUAUCUGCUGUCCACCAUCAUACUGGGGGUGAAAAGCUACAGAGCUCGAGGUGAGAUCUCUUAGUCUUCCUUUAUAUCCUUAAUAAUUAACACACUUUAAGCCUCAUUGAGAUGCAGAUUUCUAUAUUACACUGAAACUGAACAUAACACUUAAAUAUAUGUUCAUUAUUGUGUGUUUUACAGCUGAAGCUGAUGAUGUGAACAUGGUGUGUGAAGUGAGAGAAGCUGAAGAAUGAUGAUAAAUGACUUCAGCCACCAUGAAAGGUGUAAAUGAAGGAAAGAAAUUUCAUUUUAAUUCAAUUAGCAAAAAAAAAUAUGUAAAAAAAAAAUAAUAAACAGCUUGUUUUGUGCUUUUUUUGUUUCUGU
Molecule: long non-coding RNA, 921 nt
Filed under: Astyanax mexicanus (Mexican tetra)
Lineage: Eukaryota; Metazoa; Chordata; Actinopteri; Characiformes; Acestrorhamphidae
Description: lncRNA (ENSAMXG00005009752.1)
Source: RNAcentral